AAGGUAAAGAUCAUCCCAUAUGGUAUGCUAAACCUAGAGUACCUAUGACAUAUGGAGAUGUAGUUUAACAUAAGUCUAGGGAGGUUUAGGGGAAUUCCUAGCAAGAUAUGGUGCAUGAUAGCUAAAUCUCGCUCCGAAACGAAAUCGAAGCGACCGGUUUUUGGAAACAAGACCCGGUUAACAAUGCUCAAAAGCAGUCUCAUCUCGGCAUUGAGGUCUUGGGAGUUAACUACGUCAAGAGGGCCGCAGUCCUCUCUUCCUAAGAGUAGGUUUAGGGC
RNAcentral lists this long non-coding RNA (278 nucleotides) under Phoenix dactylifera (date palm). Its description in RNAcentral is "long non-coding RNA (PDAC_LNC011623)". The record is from RNAcentral. Lineage: Eukaryota; Viridiplantae; Streptophyta; Magnoliopsida; Arecales; Arecaceae.